GGCAGGCGGCAGCUACCAUGCAGUCGAGCGGAUGACGGAGCUUGCUCCCUGAUUCAGCGGCGGACGGGUGAGUAAUGCCUAGGAAUCUGCCUGGUAGUGGGGGACAACGUUUCGAAAGGAACGCUAAUACCGCAUACGUCCUACGGGAGAAAGUGGGGGAUCUUCGGACCUUGCGCUAUCAGAUGAGCCUAUGUCGGAUUAGCUAGUUGGUGAGGUAAAGGCUCACCAAGGCGACGAUCCGUAACUGGUCUGAGAGGAUGAUCAGUCACACUGGAACUGAGACACGGUCCAGACUCCUACGGGAGGCAGCAGUGGGGAAUAUUGGACAAUGGGCGAAAGCCUGAUCCAGCCAUGCCGCGUGUGUGAAGAAGGUCUUCGGAUUGUAAAGCACUUUAGGUUGGGAGGAAGGGCAGUAAGUUAAUACCUUGCUGUUUUGACGUUACCAACAGAAUAAGCACCGGCUAACUUCGUGCCAGCAGCCGCGGUAAUACGAAGGGUGCAAGCGUUAAUCGGAAUUACUGGGCGUAAAGCGCGCGUAGGUGGUUCGUUAAGUUGGAUGUGAAAUCCCCGGGCUCAACCUGGGAACUGCAUCCAUAACUGGCGAGCUAGAGUAUGGCAGAGGGUGGUGGAAUUUCCUGUGUAGCGGUGAAAUGCGUAGAUAUAGGAAGGAACACCAGUGGCGAAGGCGACCACCUGGGCUAAUACUGACACUGAUGUGCGAAAGCGUGGGGAGCAAACAGGAUUAGAUACCCUGGUAGUCCACGCCGUAAACGAUGUCAACUAGCCGUUGGGAUCCUUGAGAUCUUAUUGCCGCAGCUAACGCAUUAAGUCGACCGCCUGGGAGUACGGCCGCAAGUUAAAACUCAAUGAUUGACGGGGGCCCGCACAGCGGGGAGCAUGUGGUUUAUUCUAUCACCAAGACCUUACCACCCUUGACUUCAGAGACUUUCCAGAAUGGAUGUGGCUUCGGACUUGACAAGGUGCUGCAUGGCUGUCGUCACUCGUGUCGUGAGAUGUUGGGUAGUCCGUAACGACGCAACCCUGUC
This 1046-nucleotide ribosomal RNA is filed under the name Stutzerimonas stutzeri. RNAcentral's name for it is "bacterial SSU rRNA". It matches the Rfam family "Bacterial small subunit ribosomal RNA", at positions 34 to 1108 of the family's 1533-position model. Lineage: Bacteria; Pseudomonadati; Pseudomonadota; Gammaproteobacteria; Pseudomonadales; Pseudomonadaceae. The record is from RNAcentral.